RNAcentral lists this ribosomal RNA (253 nucleotides) under uncultured bacterium. Its description in RNAcentral is "partial 16S ribosomal RNA". It matches the Rfam family "Bacterial small subunit ribosomal RNA", at positions 524 to 776 of the family's 1533-position model. The record is from RNAcentral.
UACGUAGGGGGCAAGCGUUGUCCGGAUUUAUUGGGCGUAAAGAGCGUGUAGGCGGCCAGGUAGGUCUGCUGUGAAAACUCGAGGCUUAACCUCGAGCUGUCGGCGGAAACCAUCUGGCUAGAGUCCGGAAGAGGAGAAUGGAAUUCCCGGUGUAGCGGUGAAAUGCGCAGAUAUCAAGAAGAACACCUAUGGCGAAGGCAGCUCUCUGGGACGGUACUGACGCUGAGACGCGAAAGCGUGGGGAGCGAACAGG